CAGCGUUGGGCGUUCAAGCAAAACAAGCCUGCAGUUUAGGACAAACUGACAUUGUUCUUCAACGUUGACUUCUGAAAGUUAGAUCAAGGAUUGCCGACCCAAAUCAACACGAACUUCAGGGGGAAUUCGAGCAAUUUUCAUGGAGAGAGGAUUGACUGUGGACAGCAUGUUGGACACUCGGAUGUGUCGAACUUCAUCAGGACGCAUGACAUCCAAGGGGAGGAUAGACGGAUACUUCAGGGCUGCUACGAUCUUUUUGAAUCGAAACCAGAUUUCGUUUGGCAAAAUUGCUCCAUCGAAGUCAUGUGCUCGUCAGUUGAGGUAAAGUUCGUGUCUGGCGAUGAAAGCAAUCGAUACCUCUUACGUUUUAGAGAAGGUGAAAUUUGGACGGCGGUUUUGAGAGAAGAAAUAAGCACACAAUUCUUCAAUGUGUAUGAGUGGUUAUUUAAUCUCGUGAAGGGAGUUGGAGAAGCAGUUGCUGGAGCUAUCCAGCAAAAUCCUAAUAUUCUACUCCCUUGACAUAUGAAAAUUAUGAAGUGUUUUAUAGUGGUGCAGAUACACACAUUAAAGAAAGAGACCAGAAUAUAUCUUGCUUUGUCACAAACGGGAUCCCUGCUGCUGUUGUUAUGACUCGGAGUGUCUAUUUUCAUAUCCUCAGCUAAGAAGUGUUUAUUAUCUACAUGGGUACUUUCGGUCAUAUUGGUUAACGUAAUCCUGUUCUGAGGUGUAUAUCUAUACAGAACACUUUGGUUUUCAAAAAGUGAUCACAUACAUUGUAAUACAUGUAGCUAUGUUUUAAUAAACUUGAUUAUCUAUCUUUAAAAAA
Haliotis rubra (blacklip abalone) is the source of this 826-nucleotide RNA transcript. RefSeq lists it as uncharacterized. Lineage: Eukaryota; Metazoa; Mollusca; Gastropoda; Lepetellida; Haliotidae. The record is from RefSeq and is a predicted model, not a curated record. The transcript is spliced from 3 exons.